GAGUUUGAUCGUGGCUCAGAACGAACGCUGGCGGCAUGCCUAACACAUGCAAGUCGAACGAUCCCUUCGGGGAUAGUGGCGCACGGGUGCGUAACGCGUGGGAACCUGCCCUUAGGUUCGGAAUAACUCAGAGAAAUUUGAGCUAAUACCGGAUAAUGUCUUCGGACCAAAGAUUUAUCGCCUUUGGAUGGGCCCGCGUUGGAUUAGCUAGUUGGUGGGGUAAAGGCCUACCAAGGCGACGAUCCAUAGCUGGUCUUAGAGGAUGAUCAGCCACACUGGGACUGAGACACGGCCCAGACUCCUACGGGAGGCAGCAGUGGGGAAUAUUGGACAAUGGGCGCAAGCCUGAUCCAGCCAUGCCGCGUGAGUGAAGAAGGCCCUCGGGUUGUAAAGCUCCUUUGUCCGGAAAGAAAAGCGCCGGGUUAAUACCCUGGUGUCCUGACGGUACCGGAAGAAUAAGCACCGGCUAACUUCGUGCCAGCAGCCGCCGUAAU
Molecule: ribosomal RNA, 494 nt
Filed under: uncultured Alphaproteobacteria bacterium
Lineage: Bacteria; Pseudomonadati; Pseudomonadota; Alphaproteobacteria
Description: bacterial SSU rRNA
Rfam family: Bacterial small subunit ribosomal RNA
Source: RNAcentral